Gymnodraco acuticeps is the source of this 3108-nucleotide RNA transcript. It is a transcript of the gene named sap30-like, with no coding region annotated. The record is from RefSeq and is a predicted model, not a curated record. NCBI's taxonomy places the organism in Eukaryota, Metazoa, Chordata, Actinopteri, Perciformes, Bathydraconidae. The transcript is spliced from 5 exons.
GACAGGAACUUCCGCCACGGAGACGGAGCAUUUCCAUUGUACGAGCUGUUCUGAAAGAGUCCCGCGAUUGUUGAGCUACAGUAUCUUAAGUGCGUGGUUUCUUCAAAGUUGUAACAUUAGACGUAGCCGAUUGUCGUCUUUUAGCUUAAAAUCGUAUGAGAUUGUUGUCGCAUACGAAUCGUCCGGAGGGUAACGGGCUGUUACUGGGAAGAAGUGCGACGGUCUCACCAUAGGAAUUUGUUAGCGGCAGCUCAGCCACCUUGCGGUCCGGCUAACACCGUGGCUAGGUAACGUUAGCUGCAGCUCUGUUGUGGCGUGAAUCUGACGGAAAUCUGUAAGAAUAUGUCCUCAACCGGAGGCUGUUACGCUUCGACAUAAGGGACUAGAGUGCACAAAUAAACAACAAACUGUUAGUCCUCGAACUAGCCACUUAGCCAAGCUAACUAGCUAGCUAACGUUAACGCUACGGGAUUGUCUUUGACAAAAGGGCAACCCGUCAACAAGAGACUUUGUAGCCAAACUAACGCGUUUUCCCCUAUUUUUUAAUUUAUUGAGCUUUUGCACGAAGAGCAUUACAACAGCACAGGAUGAAUGGAUUUAGCACUGAGGAAGACAGCCACGAUGGACCUCCGGCUCCGCCGUUUUAUGGACAGAGCUGCUGUCUGAUCGAGGACGGAGAGCGCUGCGGCCGGUCAGCUGGAAACGCCUCCUUCAGCAAGAGGAUCCAGAAGAGCAUAUCACAAAAGAAGCUCAAGCUUGACAUUGACAAGAGCGUGAGACACCUCUACAUCUGCGACUUCCAUAAGAACUUCAUCCAGAGCGUCCGCAACAAGAGGAAGAGGAAGACCAGUGACGAUGGAGGGGAAUCCCCGGAUCACGACGUGGAGGUGCCCGAGGUGGACCUGUUCCAGCUGCAAGUGAACACGUUGAGACGCUACAAGCGACACUACAAGCUGCAGACCCGGCCUGGACUCAACAAGGCCCAGCUGGCAGAGGUGGACUCCAUGCAGCUGGCUCGGCCCUCGUCCGUACAAAUGCUUCCUGUAUGCAGCGCUCUCUGACGGCUUGGAUGUGACUCGGCUGGCGCGCACAGUGGGAAUGAAAGAAAACUGGCUACGGUGAGUCGUCACUUCAGGAAUAUCCCGGUGAACGAGAAGGAGACGCUGACCUACUUUAUUUACAUGGUGAAGAGCAGCAAGAGCCGCUUGGACCAGAAAGGCGACGGCGGGAAACCGCUGGACUAAACAUCGCAACACAAAGCACAGUAGCUACAACGAAACCAUCAAUAAUCCACAGCUAUUUCAAAAACCCGGACACCACUAACGGCAACAACAACUGCAACCCUGCACCGUCCUCUCCUCUGUAAAGACAGACUCUUGUCGUCCUCAGAGGACAUCUCACUGAAUUGGAGGAGAAUUCAGGGUGGGAUGAGAUAUCUCUUGCUUAUUAUGCCCUUUUCAUAUAAAAAUUGUCUCUGCGCAUGUUGUCACAAUAGUCAUUUCCUCUCCCUCUUCUCCGAAAAAAGCCAGACUGAGGUCCCGGGACUCACUCCACAGGGUUUUUAUGUUGUCAUGCUGUAAUGUAAUCUGUCAAUAUGUACAAAAGAACAGCGUCCAAUCUUAAGUAAGUUGGUUGACUGCAAAGUACAAUAUAGCUGCCUUAAGAGUAAAAAAAACGAAACGUGUUUCUGUAAAUUUGGGGGAAUCUUUCUUUGCCGAGUAGACUGUUAACACUUUCACAGAGAGGAAUGCUUGUGCCAAACAGAAACGUUUGUUGGAAUUGAAUGAUGUUGAGUGGGAUUUAUUUUUCUUAAUUUUUUUAAACGUGAAUGAAUGAAUUGUUGGAAAGGGGCUCUGCCUUUGCUGAAGUUACAUCCAGGGAUCAGGGUCAGUUUAACCAGAUCAAGAAUUCUUGAUUCUCAAUAAUGUCUAAAAGAAAGAAGCUGAUCUCAGUCCUACAUUUUAAUCUUUAUUUGCCCUUUUCCAACUGGAUGUGAUGCAUAUGAAGACCGAUGGUGGUGAAUGAUGUAACAUUUAGCUAUGACCCACUCUUCUCCUUAUUGCUAGCUGUUUAAUGUACUUAACAACACAAACAUCACAGGUGUUGGUAGCUUAUUUUUUUUCUUUGUAACCCAGUUUUCUACUAAAUGUUUUAGUUCAGCCUCAAGUUGUAUAAAGUCUAUGUGGAUAUAAUUUAGAAUUGUUUUGUCCCAUCUUUCUUUUCCACCAGAAGUGGAACUUUUGUGUGUGUGAGAGAUAGGGGUCUAAGAGUAAUUAUUUGCACCAUUUUAAUAUUUAAGAGCAGUGUUUAUAUUGGACUGAAGCCUUGAUUUGAUACUUAAAAUACCCAGAUGCAUUUAAAAAAGUGGGUUUUCCCUUUGCCUUUUUAAAUAAUUAAUUACAUGUAUCAACAAAAAAAAGAUAUUGAUGCGUGCCUUCCAUAUUGCAGCAAAAAUCUAAAUGUCAGUAGAAGUUGGCUAAUGAGGUCUUAAAAAAAAAUCUUGGCAAUUAUUAAAUUCAGGUAAUGGAUUCACUGUUUGAUGAAUCGUCAUUUUUUGGAUCGUAUUUGUCAAUAAUAUUGAGCCAAAACUGUUAUGGGGAAAGUAGCCUUUGGCAGGUAGCCACUUGUGUCACCUGUUGCAACAUUUGGUGUGAUCUAAAACUGCUCAAAAACUAAAUUGCAUGUAUAUUCCUAACUCACAGCUAACACAUCUAGACAAUUGACAACUAUAUGGGUUUUUGCAUCUUCCCACAACAACUCUUCUACAUGUCCAAUUAUUUGUUGUUGUUUUCAUUGUGGUGACUACAUUGUACACACAGUUUGGGAUUUCUGUAUGGAUUUUUUAAUCAGUUUGCAUCCUCUGUCACACAUCUUAUUUAAGGUUGUUCACCAACUGAGUUGUCCUUUCAACAAAGGUUUAUAUUUUUAUUUCGGUGUCUGUUAUAUUUUCAGUUCUGCUUGUAGGUUUUAGUGUCAUGUAGAUAACACCCAACUUUAACAUAUAGGCCAUGCCACAUUAACCUUACUGUUGUGUUAGAAAAAAUCAUAUUUAAAUAUGGCUGCUUAUUGCUCCUUAUAAUAAUAAAUGUAUUGUACAGAUAGAAACAA